Molecule: long non-coding RNA, 3860 nt
Organism: Amphiprion ocellaris (clown anemonefish)
Lineage: Eukaryota; Metazoa; Chordata; Actinopteri; Pomacentridae
Exons: 3
Source: RefSeq, a predicted model, not a curated record
GACCCGGUCCAGAAUGACCACUUCACUGCUGUGACUGGAGCCGCAGAUCUUGCCCAGGCUGCUGAGGUUCAGGAGGCUUGACACGCUCAUGUUGUCGAGUCUUUCAGCCAAACAGUUGAGGCUGCAGACCGACUCCAGGCAAAGACUAACUCCUACCACACGCCCCUUAAGAAGAUUAAGGAAGGUAUAUUUUUAGGGUUUAUCUUCACAGUAAACAGAGGAUCUGAGCUCUAGGAAGUCUCUAUCAGGUAACCUUCUUCCCUCCUUUCCAGUGACUUUGACUUGACAACUAUGUCACCAGCUGAGAUGCAUUCAUCCAGUAAGCUGGUGAUCGGGACAGUAUUUUAAGAAGAUUAUACGCUGCCCCUGUAUUGUAUCAUCCAGCUAUGCAUGAAGUUACAAUCAUUUUAUUCAAAGCUUCAGAAAAGGUCACCUUAUCUGUACAAGUCAGAUAUUGUCUGUGUGGUCCUGGUUUGGAUUAUGAUUGGAUACAAGGACAGCUGGACAAAAAAUAAUUCAUCUUCAAAAAUCAAAGAACUUUAAAACUGCCAGACUGCAAAAAUUAAAAAGCCUGCUUUUCAGCCUACAGUCUUCUGAGAGCACCACAAUUAACCUGGCACCUCAUCAGGGACACAAGGUUGGCAUCCGACUACUACACAAGCACUAUUUGAGGAUUGCAGCAUUAGAUCAAUUUAGAAACUCUGUAAUCUGUGUUUCACUGAACUCCAAUGGCAAAAACUAUUGAAAGGUUUACAGUAAUGUAAUUCUAGGAACCGGACUUUCUGUCAUGCUAAAAACUGGAAUGUUUUCCAAAGAAAAACACACAUUGUCUCAUCAAAAUAGACAAGACGUUCUUUCAGCCCUCUGUGCAUGUUUUACCAGCAGAAAGUGAAAGUUAAGCUAGACUCACCAUCCUUACAUCUUUUUGCCUUUCUAUCAUUUUGAUAUUAUGUGGAAUAAAUCCUCAAAUCCUGGAGAAUUUUCAGAAAAUGCAGUUUUACACCAGUAUGCAUACGAAUCUACACUGUAAUAUGACAAAAAAAAUGCAAUGAAUAUUGAUGCAGUGAAUGAAUGAAUAGUGAAAAAGCAAUUAAUAUAUACAACAGAUCAUUUCACACUGACUGUUGGAUAAGUCACAAAUGUAAAAAACAUCAUUAUUUAGCAGACACAGAAGCAUGAGAGAAAGCCUAAAAGAAGUAACACUUCUUUGGUGUUCUACUAUUUAUCUGUAGCUAUUUUAAUGAAGGCUACAUUGUUGCGGUUGCUGACAGGAUGAUGGAUGUGAUAUGAAGUACUGUUAUCUUGACAACCUCCCCAAAACACCCACACUGGCUUAUGAAAGAAGUGUCCGAUGUGUACGUAACUAGUUAUUAUGAAUUCACACAAAGGAACAGUGGGCAAUGUGCGGAGCUCCAGUAAAGGCCAGUAACACAAACACAAUGGUGGAGGGUAUACAACCCUGUGCUCACUGCAGAUACUGUGGUUUAUACACUGAACACACAGUAAGAAGUGUAAUGCGCUCCCCCUAGUGGCGGUAGAGGAAGUAUAGAGUUGAUAAACUGGUCAGAUUAUCAGAUUGAAUUCUAAAUUUGCAUUUCAAGUAAAAUUUGACAUGUUAAAAUUACAAUAACUACACUUUUUUGUGAAGAACGUUUCUUCUGCAGUAAAUUUCUUCACUGGUUUGUUACAAUGUGAUUGCUAAUUGGGAAAACAUAAGAUGUGCCUGUACUGACACUGAAUUGUGGUUAUGGUCACCUUUUCAAAGCAAAUUCAGUAUUUCCUUUCCUUAAGCCUCUAAUAGAGUUUUUUUUAUAUACACACAUACAUUUAUUUUUUUUUUUUUGAAAAUAUCUGCUUGUUGUGGUCUAAAAUAUAUUUGAGAGCGUGAAUCAAAAUGAUAAAGUUGCAAGACAGGCAGCUAAACAAUAAACUGAAAGUCACUGUAAAGGUCAAAUGUAUUUCAGACCAUGCACUUUUACACACAAAAAAAAAAUUAUACAUUUCAAAAAGCGACAUCAUUCAUUCCCAGACUAUCAGUUAUGGCAGUAAAGUCAAUAGCUAGUGGCUAGUGAUAAUAAGAUUGAUAAAAUGUGUUUAAUGUCAUAAAAAAAAAACAUCAAAAAUUCAAAAGGUUUACAAGGAUCGUUUGAUUUUUUGCUCACAUUUUUGUUUUUCCCUUCUUACCCGUAUAAUUUUUUUUUAAAAAUCCUGUAAUACUUAAGCAUAUUGUCUAUUGAACAUUUAGUGUAACAUAUAUGUACAAUUUGGGUGCAAAUACUGCUUAACUGGAAUUUACUUUGACUCAUUAAGGUAAUCUGUCAGCCGUCCCUGUAACUAGCAAUGACACAGUAAGAAGAAACAAUGUGGUUUCAGUGAGGUCUGAACAGUCUAAAAACUGGUACACAUAGUCGCUUCAGAAAGUAUUCAGACUCCUUAGCUUUUUGCAUAUUUGAUUAUGUUUUACUUAUAUUUUAAAAAGACGUGUUCUUGCAAAUGUAUUCAAAUGCAUCAGAUGCACCCUGUUUGAGUCCACCUGUGGCAAACUAAGUGACUGGACAUAGUUUAAAAAGGCACACACAACGUAUAAGAUCCCAUAGCUCACACUAAACUAUGAAGUCCAAUAGCCUGCCCUCAUCUACCUCUAGCGGGACACAGAUAAGGGCAGGCUACUAAACCAUUUCUAAAACUUUCCUAAGAGGACUCUGUAACUGACCUGAAAGGGUGCUCGUUGAUCUAUCAGCCAAGACAGAACUGAAGUGGAUGCUCUUGAGUAGUCCAAUCAAAGCACAAAUUUGAAACCCUGCACAUCUGUGGAAAGAUGUGAAGAUGGCAGUUUAUAGAUGCUUCCUAUGCAAGUCAAACUUCAAUGAACUUAAGACUCUGAAUACUCGUGUUAAUGAGCAAUUUCACAUUUUGAUUUAUAGUAAAAAAAAAAUCUAAAAACACAUUUUCACGCUGGUAUUACUAACUGAGUGGAGAUUGAUGGGGGAAAAAAUGCCAAACAUUUGUGCAAAAAGUGACGGAGUCUGAACUUCCUAAAGCAACUGCAUAUAAAAUUUACUAAAAAGAGAAGGACUAAUAAUCACGGGCCUAGUGUUAGUAUUAAAAACUCAUGAGUUGAUAGAAGGAGAUCUGACAGCACCAUCCUCAUCAUCAUCCUCAUUUUGCUCUUCCUCUCCAGGGUUCAGCGGUUCUCGGUCUGAGUCUCUGGCUGCCUGUGCCGACCUCUUGGUUGUCUUGUUCAGGGUCCCGCCCUGCAGGAAAACAAAUAUUAACUGAGCAAAUUUUUUGCCGUGUACAAUGAGCUUACAAAAAAAAGAAUAUGUGAGAACUCAUGAGGCAGGACAUCUGACCUGUCUCCGAUCCACAAUAUUGAGCAGCACUGAGGUCACAAUGCAGCAGAUGGUGUUGGCCAACAUGAAGAUCAUCAUCCUCUGCCAACGCCACAACGGAAUCUUAGUUUCACUAAAGAAAGAAAUGGAGAAAAUGUGGCCAUAAGGACAAAGACAGCAAAGUAUUAGAGCACUGCAAUGUGACCUGAAUCUGAUGCAUUUCCUACCUUGAUUUGGUACCUAAUAUCUGUCCAACAACUAGAUUGGACACCCCAAUGCCAACCAUCUGGACGGAGGUGGCCAGACCCAUGGCUGUUCCCAGAGUCGCCUGAGGCACAACGAGGGGAAUAGACGGCCACAUGCUCGCCUGGAAUUGACAGGAAAAGAUAUGAAGAAAUAAAGCCAAACUCACAGCUGCAAAGGAAUAAGUGACUCCCAGCCAGAUGGUGGACACCAAAGGAGGGACAAAGGUGAAGGCCAGGAGUCCGAACACAGGCAGUGUGAAGACAGCACAGGCCAGUGCAAAGA